GACGAACGCUGGCGGCGUGCUUAACACAUGCAAGUCGAACGGAAAGGCCCCUUUGGGGGUACUCGAGGGGCGAACGGGUGCGUAACACGUGAGUAACCUGCCCUUGACUUCGGGAUAACUUCAGGAAACUGGGGCUAAUACCGGUUAGGAAUCCUUGCUCCAUGGUGGGGGUUGGAAAGCUUCUGCGGCUUUGGAUGGACUCGCGGCGUAUCAGCUUGUUGGUGGGGUAGUGGCUUACCAAGGCUUUGACGGGUAGCCGCCCUGAGAGGGCGACAGGCCACAUUGGGACUGAGAUACGGCACAGACGCCUACGGGAGGCAGAAGGGGGGAAGAUUGCACAAUGGGCGGCAGCCGGAUGAAGCAGCGCCGCGGGUGGGAUGACGGCUUUCGGGUUGUAGAACGCUUUCAGCAGAGGCGAAGCUUGUGGUGACGGUACCUGCAGAAGAAGCACCGGCUAACUACGUG
Molecule: ribosomal RNA, 465 nt
Filed under: uncultured bacterium
Lineage: Bacteria
Description: partial 16S ribosomal RNA
Rfam family: Bacterial small subunit ribosomal RNA
Source: RNAcentral